RNAcentral lists this long non-coding RNA (204 nucleotides) under Vigna radiata. RNAcentral's name for it is "long non-coding RNA (VRAD_LNC008904)". Lineage: Eukaryota; Viridiplantae; Streptophyta; Magnoliopsida; Fabales; Fabaceae. The record is from RNAcentral.
AACUGGGGUGCAGCUGAGCGCCCUGCUCUCUGGAAAGCUGCAGCUGGGGUGCAGCUGAGGUGCAGCUGAGCGGUGACAAUGCUGAUGUGGAAAAAUUAGGUCUUUUUAGGCCUAAAACGCGAGGGGCUUGGGAUCUUUUUGCACCCAGACUCGUUUUCUCUUGUUUUGGAGCUCUUGGAGGCAGCUUGGAGCUGUGGAAUCACU